AGUGAACGCUGGCGGUAGGCCUAACACAUGCAAGUCGAACGGCAGCACAGUAAGAGCUUGCUCUUACGGGUGGCGAGUGGCGGACGGGUGAGGAAUAAAUCGGAAUCUACUUUUUCGUGGGGGAUAACGUAGGGAAACUAACGCUAAUACCGCAUACGACCUACGGGUGAAAGCAGGGGAUCUUCGGACCUUGCGCGAUUGAAUGAGCCGAUGUCGGAUUAGCUAGUUGGCGGGGUAAAGGCCCACCAAGGCGACGAUCCGUAGCUGGUCUGAGAGGAUGAUCAGCCACACUGGAACUGAGACACGGUCCAGACUCCUACGGGAGGCAGCAGUGGGGAAUAUUGGACAAUGGGCGCAAGCCUGAUCCAGCCAUACCGCGUGGGUGAAGAAGGCCUUCUGGUUGUAAAGCCCUUUUGUUGGGAAAGAAAAGCAGCAGGUUAAUACCCCGCUGUUCUGACGGUACCCAAAGAAUAAGCACCGGCUAACUUCGUG
Molecule: ribosomal RNA, 492 nt
Filed under: uncultured bacterium
Lineage: Bacteria
Description: partial 16S ribosomal RNA
Rfam family: Bacterial small subunit ribosomal RNA
Source: RNAcentral